UGAAAUAAUAGAAACUCCAUAAUUGAGAUGAAUGGACGGUCAAGAAAUCAUCAUACACUUCGGCAACUGCGUUUGUUUAAUUCAGUUUAUAUAUAUAUAUUAAAUCUGGCUUAAUAAUAAUUAAGAUUCACUUCGUUUCCCAUAUGGUCUUAUGCAUUAAUCAUAUCCUCAAGGACCUUAUGAAGCAGUACUGAUUAUUUUUGCAACAGCUCAUUUUGAGAAUCAUUGUUGCUGCUGCAAUCCACGCAAGUUUCCUUCUUUUUCCUGCUGUUGAGAAUCUACCGCUGGGCAGUGUAUGCAUCUACGCCGAUCUCUGAAUCUCCGUUGCACAGUAAAAAUCAAUACACACUCACUCGCCCAUGUAUAUCAUCAGUGGUUAAUCCCCUCAAGAUGCUAUUACCAAAAGCGAGAGGGCGCGCGUGACGGACUGUCCACAGCAACAACAGACUCUUAUCCAAGUUGCAAGCUUCAAGAUAUCAUGUGGUCACCUGUAGGGAGCAUUACUGUGUUGUUUACGGUAGAAAUAGCAUGUUUAAUUGCUUCCUAGAAGCGUUGUUAUCCCAUGUAUGUUACUGAUUAGGGCUUCCUUUUCAUUGUUUUCAUGGCCUGAUUCUUCAGGGGGGGGACUGGCGCCCUUCCUCUAAAGUUAGAGAUGCUAUGCCCAAAAGACAAGAAAGAUAAAAAUAAAAAUAAAGGCUUUGCACCUCCAUGCUUUA
Molecule: long non-coding RNA, 716 nt
Organism: Populus nigra (black poplar)
Lineage: Eukaryota; Viridiplantae; Streptophyta; Magnoliopsida; Malpighiales; Salicaceae
Exons: 2
Source: RefSeq, a predicted model, not a curated record